Triticum aestivum (bread wheat) is the source of this 2316-nucleotide long non-coding RNA. RefSeq lists it as uncharacterized. The record is from RefSeq and is a predicted model, not a curated record. Lineage: Eukaryota; Viridiplantae; Streptophyta; Magnoliopsida; Poales; Poaceae. The transcript is spliced from 3 exons.
ACAAUAUGCUGCCCGCAAACGACCGCACGACCUCUCCCCUCCUCCCCGCACGACCUAUCUCGCCCCCUUCUCCUCACACGUCUCUCGCCCCCUCCUCCCGCGCCGUUCGCCGCCCCGCCGUUCCUCCCGCACCCUUGCGCCGCCAUUAGCCACAGGAUCCGCCCUGCCGCGCGCGGAGACGCCUCCAGCAGCUGCCGCCGAUGCCGUAACCUCCCCCUGCCUCUACCCCAGGCGCGAGGAACCUACCUCCCGAAGCAACCGGAGCGGCAAAGCGGCGGAUGAAUGGAGAGAUGGCGUCUGUGGCGGCGGGGAAGGAGAUGGCGCGGGCGUCCUACAUCCAGAUCAAGCACGAGGAGGAGCGGCGAGGGCCCGAGGGCCGGUUCUUCUCCGUCACACGCGCGCCGAUGUCGCCGCGCGUCGACCAGAUCCUCGCCGGGCGCGCCUCCUUCGCCGACCUUGCUGCACAGCACUCCGGCUGCUCCUUCGCCCGCCGCGGCAGCAACCUAGGUAUGCCUCCACUUGCCCCACCUACGCGCUUAGCAGGCUUUCAUAUAGGGUCUCCGAUCAUGGCGAACCGGAAGCACCAGCCCACGAAGAGCUCGACAGCGUGAGGUCCUCUCCUGCCAGCAGUAGGUGACCAGGCCGAGAUCCACCGCCGAGCCAAGCACUUCUCCGUUCUUUUUCUUCCUCUGUUACACAGCCAAAACAAUUUUCUUUAGAACAAUCGUAUCUCCAGCCAGCAGUACAUGAACCUACAGCACAAAUAAUGGAGGAGCGAGCGACUACAAUAGAGGAUGGACCUGUGGUUGCUUUCCAACUCUUUUCUUCAAAACAGUCUGAGAAAGAGUGCAAAGGAAAUUGGACCAUAUUCAUAUGCAACGGGAAAUUGCUCAGGAAUAUCUCCAUCUUAUGCUUAUUGCUUUGAUAUAGAGUGACCUAUAAAAGGGUCAAAACAAUCAGUGAGAUACUUCUCUGGAUGUAGAGCUCAUUGACGUAUGCCUAAAAAAAUAAAAUUAUAUUUUUUACACUAUUAUUCUCAAUUGUAUGGUUGAACAUUCAUUACCUUGUGGUUUGUACUUGGUCCCAGCCUCCCAAGCUUAAAUCCGAAGUUGUUCUGUAUAGGGGAGUGAAUUGUAUGAGUGUGUUUCCAGGCUUAAAUCUGAAAUUGUUGUGUAUACCAUAUGUGCAUGCGGUGCGUAUGGUAGAACCAAUUGAUUUGCAGAAGAUGACAUGAAUCGGAAGGGUAAUCAGUGCCGCCAACGGAAGGCUCGGCAGUGCUGAUCACCAGAGCUAGACUACUGGCAGUGCCAUCCAAAUCCUCGGUGACGCUCAAGGGUGACCAUAGUAGCAUAUAUUCAGCCCAAAUACAGUGCUGUCAUCAAACGCCGUCUGCAAUUUUCUAGCUCCAGGAAUUUCGACCGUCCUACAAGAAGAAUCAGUUGAGAAGCUGCAGUGCUAGGACUGGUUGUUGCCCAAAGAGAUGAUAUGACCAUCAGUUUAUGGUCUUUUUGAGCUUGAUGUUUCUGUAUUGGAGAAAUGAAGUCUUCGGCAUGUACACGGUGUAAACAAUCAUUGGAAAAGGCGAGAUGAAGAUAAGAGGAGCAUAUAGAAGUUUCUGAUUUGUAUAGGAGGCCUUGUUGGUAUGAUUUAUUUUCCUGAUGGUAUAUUCAUCUCAUUAGGAAGGCCUUGUUGUGUGGCUUUGGUCUUCCUAAAUUUGUGUGUGGAUUUUUCUCUUUUCUUUUUAGCUUUGUGAAACAAUGACUAUCCUAGUGCAAGAUCUACUCAUGGAUAUUUCCUUAUUGUACAGUUUUCCAUUUUAAAAUAGUAGACAUUUCUCCAUUGUUGAGAUGUUGAUAGGACAAGUUUAAUAGAUUGUUUAUCUUACCAGGACUAAGAUUAGCCUGGAGAAAGUGUGGCUUGCAUGCCAUCUAUGUCAUACACAAAUUAUUAAAUUUUCUUUCUUCAUUUUUUGUUCAUGAAUGUUGCACUCUUGGAGAUGAGACUCAGAAUGGAUGCAUAAUGGUCCUGGCUACUGGCGAGCUUGAAGCAAGUGGUGCGUGUUGUGACUCCCACUGUGGCGCUGUAGUCGACUCCAUCAAUUCAAAUUCUGAAGAUAACAUGUAGCCUGAAUCCAAGAGGGAACAAAUCCAGUUGUUACAAGACUGCGUUCUGUUUUGCAUAUUUUGUUGACAGUUUGCAUCUCUGCCAUGUUCAUCUUGGAUUAUGAUUUCUUUUUCAUCUGCUCCCACUUAUAUAUGUAUUAUAAGUCCUUCGAAGUACACAGAAUAAAUCAGACAUUCUGAAAUCUUUAGUAUA